CUACGGGUUGCUGCAGUGAGGAAUAUUGCACAAUGGGGGGAACCCUGAUGCAGCAACGCCGCGUGGAGGAUGACGCAUUUCGGUGUGUAAACUCCUUUUAUAUGUCAAGAAAAUGACGGUAGCAUAUGAAUAAGCGCCGGCUAACUCCGUGCCAGCAGCCGCGGUAAUACGGAGGGCGCAAGCGUUACUCGGAAUCACUGGGCGUAAAGGACGCGUAGGCGGGUUGAAAAGUCAGGUGUGAAAGCCUACAGCUUAACUGUAGAACUGCACUUGAAACUCUCAACCUAGAGUAUGGGAGGGGCAGAUGGAAUUAGUGGUGUAGGGGUAAAAUCCGUGGAUAUCACUAGGAAUACCUAAAGCGAAGGCGAUCUGCUGGAACAUUACUGACGCUAAGGCGUGAAAGCGUGGGGAGCAAACAGGAUUAGAUACCCCCGUAGUC
Molecule: ribosomal RNA, 439 nt
Filed under: uncultured bacterium
Lineage: Bacteria
Description: partial 16S ribosomal RNA
Rfam family: Bacterial small subunit ribosomal RNA
Source: RNAcentral